AACGAACGCUGGCGGCAUGCCUAACACAUGCAAGUCGAACGAGACCUUCGGGUCUAGUGGCGCACGGGUGCGUAACGCGUGGGAACCUGCCCUUAGGUUCGGAAUAACUCCCCGAAAGGGGUGCUAAUACCGGAUAAUGUCUUCGGACCAAAGAUUUAUCGCCUUUGGAUGGGCCCGCGUUGGAUUAGCUAGUUGGUAGGGUAAAAGCCUACCAAGGCGACGAUCCAUAGCUGGUCUGAGAGGAUGAUCAGCCACACUGGGACUGAGACACGGCCCAGACUCCGACGGGAGGCAGCAGUGGGGAAUAUUGGACAAUGGGCGAAAGCCUGAGCCAGCAAUGCCGCGUGAGUGAUGAAGGCCUUAGGGUUGUAAAGCUCUUUUACCCGGGAUGAUAAUGACAGGACCGGGAGAAUAAGCUCCGGCUAACUCCGU
RNAcentral lists this ribosomal RNA (432 nucleotides) under uncultured bacterium. Its description in RNAcentral is "partial 16S ribosomal RNA". It matches the Rfam family "Bacterial small subunit ribosomal RNA", at positions 29 to 506 of the family's 1533-position model. The record is from RNAcentral.